UGGGGAAUAUUGCACAAUGGGCGCAAGCCUGAUGCAGCCAUGCCGCGUGUGUGAAGAAGGCCUUCGGGUUGUAAAGCACUUUCAGCGAGGAGGAAGGUGGUGAGCUUAAUACGCUCAUCAAUUGACGUUACUCGCAGAAGAAGCACCGGCUAACUCCGUGCCAGCAGCCGCGGUAAUACGGAGGGUGCAAGCGUUAAUCGGAAUUACUGGGCGUAAAGCGCACGCAGGCGGUUUGUUAAGUCAGAUGUGAAAUCCCCGGGCUCAACCUGGGAACUGCAUUUGAAACUGGCAAGCUAGAGUCUCGUAGAGGGGGGUAGAAUUCCAGGUGUAGCGGUGAAAUGCGUAGAGAUCUGGAGGAAUACCGGUGGCGAAGGCGGCCCCCUGGACGAAGACUGACGCUCAGGUGCGAAAGCGUGGGGCAGCAAACAGGAUUAGAUACCCUGGUAGUCCACGCUGUAAAACGAUGUCGAUUUUGGAGGUUGUGCCCUUGAGGCGUGGCUUCCGGAGCUAACGCGUUAAAUCGACCGCCUGGGGAGUACGGCCGCAAGGUUAAAACUCAAAGGAAUUGACGGGGUC
This 576-nucleotide ribosomal RNA is filed under the name uncultured bacterium. RNAcentral describes it as "partial 16S ribosomal RNA". It matches the Rfam family "Bacterial small subunit ribosomal RNA", at positions 355 to 920 of the family's 1533-position model. The record is from RNAcentral.